GAGUCGAAGAAAUACAUUAGGACACUAAGACCAUGAGUUUCCCAGAUAGGCGGAAAUCUACCAAACAGAGGAAGGUAACAGCCAUAUCCACUCUGAGCCCUGCACUAACUCAAAGUCCACUGCAAACAGGAAGAAUCUGAGCAAUAUCAAAGAUGGUUGCAGAGAAGGGGAAGAGAAGAACAGAAAACAAGACAAACUGACAGAAGAAAAUAUUUAGACUAUGGAAAAUGCCUGACUGUACUUGGGCUGCCUGUUGAAGCUCAAGUCUGCCUGAAAUAAA
This 280-nucleotide long non-coding RNA is filed under the name Chrysolophus pictus (golden pheasant). RNAcentral describes it as "lncRNA (ENSCPIG00010002063.1)". Lineage: Eukaryota; Metazoa; Chordata; Aves; Galliformes; Phasianidae. The record is from RNAcentral.